GAAAGAGAACCUGAAACCCUGUGUUUACAAGCUGUGGAAGAACGAGAAAUGUUCAACCGCGUACUUUUUGUAGAACGGUCCGGCGAGUUACGCUGGCAGGCGAGGUUAAGGACUUUAGGUCCGGAGCCGAAGGGAAACCAAGUCUUAAGAGGGCGGUCAUAGUCUGUCAGAGUAGACCCGAAACCGGGUGAUCUAUCCAUGUCCAGGUUGAAGUUGCCGUAAAAGGCAAU
RNAcentral lists this ribosomal RNA (230 nucleotides) under Drancourtella massiliensis. RNAcentral's name for it is "partial 23S ribosomal RNA". It matches the Rfam family "Bacterial large subunit ribosomal RNA", at positions 540 to 767 of the family's 2925-position model. Lineage: Bacteria; Bacillati; Bacillota; Clostridia; Eubacteriales; Oscillospiraceae. The record is from RNAcentral.